Molecule: long non-coding RNA, 800 nt
Filed under: Ananas comosus (pineapple)
Lineage: Eukaryota; Viridiplantae; Streptophyta; Magnoliopsida; Poales; Bromeliaceae
Description: long non-coding RNA (ACOM_LNC021876)
Source: RNAcentral
AUUAUGACAUGUUAAAAGAGUAUCAAACUACAGGGGUCUGGCUACUAUACUAUUAUUAGUACGAUCACCCUCGUACUCAUAAGUUAUUUUCGAUGAUAGAGCUUCCGAAUCGACGAUCCACACCGUUAAAUGUUAUUUACAGCAUUUAAAACUUCUAGAAAUCAAAUUUUAUAAUUUUUCGACAUCAUUUACCGUACGAUCAAGAGGUCACAAAUUUGACAAUUUUUAACGGCCGGUAUGGGAUACUUGCUAGUUUAACGGUGUAAAAGAAUCAGAAUUUGUUAAAUUUUUGAUAGAAAAUUCUAUUCACUACAUAGAUAAAGAUCAAUAAAUCCGAUCUUGAAUUGAAGGAUCUGAUCAUCCUUUUUUAGGACGUCGUUCGAUUUUGACCGUUCAUUUUAUGCCCACUUGAUGGACUUUAUUAUGAUUUCGAAAAUUUACGAAAUUUAUUUUCUAGAAGUUUUAAAUAUUCUAGAUCAUAUUUAACAGAGUGGAUCGUCGAUUCGGAAGCUCCAUCAUUGAAAACAAUUUAUGAGUACGAGGGCUCCAAUACUCAUAAUAGUAUAGUAGCCAUGGCCCAAACUACAAUAGUCAAUCAAAAAUCUAUCGUUGUGGCCAUGACCCCUACUAUGCAUUAUUUCUAAAUUAGAAAAUAGAUCGAUCCCUAAAUAGAGAAAUCCAUUGAGAAAGGGCUUUUGGAAACAGGUAGGGGAUUUAGGUUAUCACAACGUCGAAAGAUGGAAGACAGAAAGUGGUGAAGAAGAGAGUAAGAGAGUGCUAUAGAUGAUAGCUUUGAAUUU